RNAcentral lists this ribosomal RNA (678 nucleotides) under uncultured archaeon. RNAcentral's name for it is "bacterial SSU rRNA". It matches the Rfam family "Archaeal small subunit ribosomal RNA", at positions 319 to 1000 of the family's 1478-position model. The record is from RNAcentral.
UCCCUAUGGGGUGCAGCAGUCGCGAAAACUNUGCAAUACACGAAAGUGUGACAGGGCUAUCCCGAGUGCCAUCCGCUGAGGAAGGCUUUUACCCAGUCUAGAACGCUGGGGGAAUAAGGAGAGGGCAAGUCUGGUGUCAGCCGCCGCGGUAAUACCAGCUCUCCGAGUGGUGUGGAUGUUUAUUGGGCCUAAAGCAUCCGUAGCUGGCUGAGUUAGUCCCUUGUUAAAUCCACCGAAUUAAUCGUUGGAUUGCGGGGGAUACUGCUCGGCUAGGGGACGAGAGAGGCAGACGGUAUUUCCGGGGUAGGGGUGAAAUCCUAUAAUCCCGGGAAGACCACCAGUGGCGAAGGCUGUCUGCUAGAACGCGCCCGACGGUGAGGGAUGAAAGCUGGGGGAGCGAACCGGAUUAGAUACCCGGGUAGUCCCAGCUGUAAACGAUGCAGGCUAGGUGUUUGGACGGCCACGUGCCGUUCUAGUGCCGCAGGGAAGCUGUUAAGCCUGCCGCCUGGGGAGUACGAUCGCAAGAUUGAAACUUAAAGGAAUUGGCGGGGGAGCACCACAAGGGGUGAAGCUUGCGGUUUAAUUGGAGUCAACGCCGGAAAUCUCACCGGGAGCGACAGCAGUAUGAAGGCCAGAUUAAAGGUCUUGCCAGACGAGCUGAGAGGAAGUGCAUGGCCA